This 3579-nucleotide long non-coding RNA is filed under the name Populus trichocarpa (black cottonwood). RNAcentral describes it as "long non-coding RNA (PTRI_LNC003119)". The record is from RNAcentral. Lineage: Eukaryota; Viridiplantae; Streptophyta; Magnoliopsida; Malpighiales; Salicaceae.
AUCAGCUUCCAUGGCCUGCAUAUUCCUCGAUCGUUGCUGCAACGAAAACCUGACCAAUUCUCGUAAAGAAGCAAUUUCCUUCUUUGAUCUAAUAACUAUAAGUUUGAGAUCCAAACAAGAAGAGAACCAAUGCAAGAACCAUCAUGAAACAGGGAAUCCCAAAUCCAAGAAAUCAGCUCAUGUAAUCUUCUGCCUUCGCUCUCCUCAGGGUCUUCCCCAUCAAAUAUAUUGGCUCCAAAUGCCUGGAUACAAGGCCUGCGCCCACGUUGUCCAACAGCUACUAUAUAUAUAUAUUGAAAGCAAGAACAAGGCUUCUUUGAAAUUGAGAGAAUGAAGGAUAGCAGACAGAAUCAACAAGGCAAGUCCCUGCCAACAAUCCAAGGGAAAAUUACUGGCAUUCAAAUUUAAUUGUAAGGUAAGAAAACAAAAAUCAACAUUCUAAAUCUUUUGCUAAGUUAUCACAACUAAGCUAUAUAAGAAUCACACACACACACACAACUAAGCUAUAUAAGAAUCAUUAAAUAACUAAUAUAACUAACAACUAAGUUUAAUGAUUCUCAUGUAGCCUAGUUAUUAGUGAUUAUAUUUUGUAAGUAAUCAUUUGGUAACACGUAAAACUCAUUUUAUUCUUUUAAAAUAUAAUUAUUAUUAAUAAAAGUUUUCUUUAUUUUUAAUAUUUAUUUAUAUUUGAUUAAUAAAUAUAAUGUUUAAUUAAUUAAUAUAGAGUAAAGAUAAAGUCAAUGAGACAAAAAAAUAUUUUGCAAAGUAAAUUAUAAAGUUGUUAUAAUUAUGAGAUUCAUGUUGUUUCAAAGCAUUGUUCCUAAAUAUUCCUGAUCAAUGUUCUAUUAAAAAGAAACAUUAAUUAGAGGUAUAAUACUAUCAUUCAUAUCAAGUGUUGCAACAAAGAGCGAUGUUUUAAUUAGUGAUUACUGAAAAAAAUAUCAUGUAUUAAUUUCUUUUCUUAUCUUUAUGAAAGAAAACAAAUCAUUGUCUACAGUGUGAAAUCAUGAAUUGCCUUUGAAUCUUGUUUAUCAUAAAAAGUAGUGUAGUACUUUUCAUGGAUGCCAAAAAUAUCAUACAUUGAAAUGCACAUCACAACAAAAGUGAUUACUUCCAUGCAUUAUGAACAAAUUAUUAGUAAAUAUGUCAUGCAAUCAAUCGGUUAAUUAUACGUAGCAUUGAUUUUAUUCAUGUAAAAUAUAUUUAUUAUUAAUAAGGUUUUCUAUCUUUAAUAUUCAAUUAUAUUUGAUUAAUGAGUUUAUUAUUUGAUUAAUGAAUCUAGAGUAAAGAUAAAGUUCAUGGAACAAUAAUGUUUUGCAUAUAAAAUUAUAAAGUUGUUAUAAUUAUGAGAUUCAUAAUUCAUCAAAGUAUUGUUUCUAAAUGUUCCUUGUCAAUAUUAUAUUAAGAUUGAACAUUAAUUAGAGUUUUCGAGACUAGUGCAUAUUAUGUUCCUUCUUUUAUGAAAGAAAAUGGUUUUUCUGAGGUAUGAGGGAUGCCUGGAACUAACAUACAGAUACUUGUCAUAUGAUAUGUACACUGAACUAAUUCACAAGAAAAUUUCAUAUAGAAAUAUCACUUAUGUCUAUGGAAAGGCUUUCGUGAUAGUUAUUUGAGUGAUCUUUAGACUUGAGAUGAUUAAGUUAUAUUAUAUAGAGAGUGUUUUGCUUUGAUCAUAACCACACGUUAUCCUAAUCAAGGAUAAUAAACAAGCAGAUAUUGAGUAUAACAUAAAAUAUAUGAAGGUAUUUGAGUAAUCAAGAGAUGAUUCAUCACUCUAUGUGAAUUAGGAAAAAUAUUUCAUAUGUUCUCAAAUAGUAUUGAUUGUGAAAUCUUUAACCAAGAUGGAAUGAGUUUUGAAUAGAAUUUCAAAAUAUUUUUCAAAGAAUCAAUGACUAUAAUGUUGAGAACUAAAAUGAUUUAACAAAACAGGUAUAUUCCAUGUUAUAAUGUUUAAAUUGAAACAUUCAUGAUGAAUGAAUAAUAAUUAUACCAAAAAACUAGUUACUAAAAUAUUAAGUUAAACCACUUAUGACUUUUUCAAUAUUUAGAGGAUCAUAACAUAUUGCUAGAUAUUGUACUUGAUCUUUAAAUAUAAAUCAAUAAAUUAUUGAAUUGAUAGAAAAUGAAAUCAUUUAACUUAUUUAAUCUUAUUUUAUUUAGGAUUAUGAUUUAUAUUUGGGUCAAUUUAUUAGGGAACCUAAUGGGUCACACUCAUAAGAACCAUUAGUCAAAAAUUAAAAUGGGAUAAUUAAUCAAGUAUGGCUUGAUCGUAAAUAAAUUUUAGAAAUUAAGGACUAUAAUAUAAUUAAUAUAUGGUAUUACAAUUCUAGACCUAAAAAGAAUCAAGUAGGGACUUGAUUGAAUAAAUUUCUAAAAUUAAUCUAAAAUAUUAUAUGUGAUAUUAUUUUUUAAAAAAAUUAAUAUUUUAUUAUUUAUAUGAUUGAAUAAAUUUUUAAAAUUAACCUAAAAUAUUAAAUGCUGACAUAUGCUGACGAAGAGAUGCGGGCAAAUGAUUUGAGAUUGGGGAGAGUUCAUCAUUCAUCGUUUUGGAAUGGCAGGUGAUGAACGUUGACUUGUUGUUGUGCUUUUGCUACCUAAUGUUUUUCGCUGUAGAAUACAAUGAUGUGGCAUCUCUGUCAUGAUGCUUUGCUGUCCUCUUCAGGUCCUGGAAGAUGUAGCAAUUGAGUGCACAAAUUUGUCAAUCAAUUCCCUAGUUAAUUAGCAGAAUCGAAGCACGAUUAAAAGAAAUACUGUUUGUAUUCAAAAUAAUUGUACUAGACUGGUGUACAUUUUGUGUAUAUGGCUACCGUUAUUUUGAUUGCUCAAAGGAAUAGCUUGCAACCCUCUUGGAAAUGGUAGCUGAGAACAAACCAGUUCCAAUCCUUUGAAGCAUUCUAAUUCCAGUGGGUUUCCUAGCUAAAGCUCUUGAUAAAGGGACAGAUGCGAUCAAAGACAGGGACUAGCAUAACGAUUGUCAGGCUUGUGAAGGACAGAAGCGUAGCAGUUGGUAUUAUGAAGCCUGAUGCAAUUGUUCUAUCCUUACUAGCUCCUUGCAUGGUGAAAAAUGUCGAGUAUUGUGCAUCUACAAUGGCAUAUAGUAGAUUUGUAGCCCUUAUAGGAAUAAACCCUUGGCACUGCCUUCGCUUCUUGAUCUUCAUCAAUACUGCAUACCCCGUCUUCUCCAAAGCAAAUAUCCAGCGCAAGAAAGGCUUUGUUGAGGAACCUGUAACAUUGGAGGAUCCAAAUUUCCAGGUCAAGGAACUUCUUUAGCUAUAGACAACAUUAAAGUUCCAGUUGUUCGCAUAGAGUUUCUCUUACUUGAGUUGGUCACAGCCUUCAUGGGCCAAGGUUCUAUGAUCAGCUUCCAUGGCCUGCAUAUUCCUCGAUCGUUGCUGCAACGAAAACCUGACCAAUUCUAGUAAAGAAGCAAUUUCCUUCUUUGGUCUAAUAACUAUAAGUUUGAGGUCCAAACAAGAAGAGAACCAAUGCAAGAACCAUCAUGAAACAGGGAAUCCAAAUCCAAGAAAUCAGCUAAUGUAAUCUUGGAUGUAGAAUAAGAUUGAAAGUGUUAAGAUAAUG